Molecule: ribosomal RNA, 254 nt
Filed under: uncultured archaeon
Lineage: Archaea
Description: partial 16S ribosomal RNA
Rfam family: Archaeal small subunit ribosomal RNA
Source: RNAcentral
CAUUAGAUACCCCGGUAGUCCCAGCCGUAAACUAUGCGCGUUAGGUGUAUCGGUGACCACGAGUUACCGAGGUGCCGAAGGGAAACCGUGAAACGUGCCGCCUGGGAAGUACGGUCGCAAGGCUGAAACUUAAGGAAUUGGCGGGGAGCACCACAACAGGUGGAGCCUGCGGUUUAAUUGGACUCAACGCCGGGAAGCUCACCGGAUAGGACAGCAGAAUGAUUGCCGGGCUGAAGACCCUGCAUGACUAGCUG